GUCGUCGUUUCUUCUCUUAAGCUAAAGCGGUGGGCAAACUCCGGUUCAAGGGUAGAAAACUGGCAGACUGACACGUAUUUCGUGAGUCAACAUUAUUCAAGGGUGCCAGGAUCUCAAAACCAGAUAAAUCUGAACCGUUCAUUAAUUGGAGCCCACGUUAUGAAUGGUAUAGAUCUACUUAAGAUGAAGGUACGAUUUCUUCCUCUAUAGAUCACCCAGCGGCUUCUGAGGGCAUAAAAGUAAAUUCACAAGCUCGAGCUGGGUUUAAGAGACUGUACAUACUACAAACUGCAUAGUAAACGCAAGGGUUAGCGUUAAUGGCAGAUACUCAUCAAUCGACGAUUCGGCCGUGGUUUCUCGAUCUCGUGCCUCUCGUGGUUGUUCUUCUGAUUGUUGCACAUGUCCUUGCUAUGGUUUACUGGAUUUACAGGUUAGCGAUUGAGAAGCAGCCACAGAGAAUGAAGAGACAUUAGAUGAUGGAGUAGGCAUGAAAUCACUUUGAGUUUGGGAGUUUACAUACGUAUUGUAAAGCAGUUUGAAUCUUAAAUUCUUUUAUGACUGUUAAGUUAGUUUUCAUCUACCUGAGAUAAUCUUCCAAUCUGGAUCGGCACAUUAUUAUUUAUUUUUUUUCCAUUUCAGGGUCUCUUUUGCUGAUUCUUCUUUGUUCAAUUUUAAUGAGGUGGUGUGAUCAUUCACCUCCGGAGAUUUCAGUGUUUCCUUCUUAUUAUUGCUAUAUAUAUAUGAGGACAUAGGGUGUGUAUUUGUUGA
Molecule: long non-coding RNA, 768 nt
Organism: Andrographis paniculata
Lineage: Eukaryota; Viridiplantae; Streptophyta; Magnoliopsida; Lamiales; Acanthaceae
Exons: 2
Source: RefSeq, a predicted model, not a curated record